UUAUUACCUACAAAAUCCGGUGAGUAAAAGUAAAAAUAUUCGGCUUCAUAGUCGACCCCUCACAGUAUUCCAAAAGUCGAAGCUUGAUCCAAUACGUAUUCGUUUCUUUUCUUGUUCAAUUUUGUUUUAAAUGGUCAUAAGUGGAUCAAUAGUUUGAAAGUUGUGGCGAGCGGUUGUGAAUGAAAGGAGAGAUUUUGUGCUUUGAAUAAAUGUCUUCUGUGUUUCUGUUUUCAGUCUUCGGCUUUGUUCUUGGCUCUUCCAGUCCUUUUGCCUUUUUUGGAAUAUUUAUAUUUCUCGAGUUCUACGCUUCGAAGUUUCCCGGAAUGUUCACUAACAAAACCUUCUUACGCAAGACAAGGUUAAAAAGUUAAAGAAGUCAGGCAGCAGUCAAGGUCCACUUAAUGUGGCUAAAGUUUGAUUCUCGAUCUGUCACUGUCUGAAAACACUAACAGCGGCUGGGAUUAGGUGAUGGCUUAUCAAACCCCACCAAUUAUUUAUUUAUUUUAUUUUAAUUU
Molecule: long non-coding RNA, 515 nt
Filed under: Citrus x clementina
Lineage: Eukaryota; Viridiplantae; Streptophyta; Magnoliopsida; Sapindales; Rutaceae
Description: Citrus clementina (C. clementina) long non-coding RNA (CCLE_LNC001900)
Source: RNAcentral